This 462-nucleotide ribosomal RNA is filed under the name Vitta virginea. RNAcentral's name for it is "partial 16S large subunit ribosomal RNA". It matches the Rfam family "Bacterial large subunit ribosomal RNA", at positions 1910 to 2597 of the family's 2925-position model. Lineage: Eukaryota; Metazoa; Mollusca; Gastropoda; Cycloneritida; Neritidae. The record is from RNAcentral.
CAGUGAUUGCUUUUUAACGGCCGCGGUACCCUGACCGUGCAAAGGUAGCAUAAUCAUUUGCCUUUUAAUUGAAGGCUGGUAUGAACGGUUUGACGAGAGUAAAGCUGUCUCACAUAUACUUAAUAAAAAUUAAUUUAAAGGUGCAAAAGCCUUUAUUACCCAAAAAGACGAGAAGACCCUGUUGAGCUUUAAUUUAGCCCAAGUAUUAACUAUAUAUUAAUAUAAUUCACUUACUCGGUAAAAAUUUUAAUUGGGGCGAUUAAGGAACACACAAAAGCUUCCUGACAGUAGAUUAAAUCGAUCCAGCAAUGCUGAUCAACAAAAUGAGUUACCACAGGGAUAACAGCAUAAUUCUUUUUGAGAGCUCAUAUCGAAAAAAGAGAUUGUGACCUCGAUGUUGGACUAGGGUAACCGGAAGGUGCAGCCGCUUUCCUGCUUGGUCUGUUCGACCAAUAAUUCCCU